Molecule: ribosomal RNA, 466 nt
Filed under: Vreelandella stevensii
Lineage: Bacteria; Pseudomonadati; Pseudomonadota; Gammaproteobacteria; Oceanospirillales; Halomonadaceae
Description: partial 16S ribosomal RNA
Rfam family: Bacterial small subunit ribosomal RNA
Source: RNAcentral
CCUACGGGGUGCUGCAGUGGGGAAUAUUGGACAAUGGGCGAAAGCCUGAUCCAGCCAUGCCGCGUGUGUGAAGAAGGCCUUCGGGUUGUAAAGCACUUUCAGUGGGGAAGAAAGCCUUGGGGCUAAUACCCUCGAGGAAGGACAUCACCCACAGAAGAAGCACCGGCUAACUCCGUGCCAGCAGCCGCGGUAAUACGGGAGGGUGCGAGCGUUAAUCGGAAUUACUGGGCGUAAAGCGCGCGUAGGCGGUCUGAUAAGCCGGUUGUGAAAGCCCCGGGCUCAACCUGGGAACGGCAUCCGGAACUGUCAGGCUAGAGUGCAGGAGAGGAAGGUAGAAUUCCCGGUGUAGCGGUGAAAUGCGUAGAGAUCGGGAGGAAUACCAGUGGCGAAGGCGGCCUUCUGGACUGACACUGACGCUGAGGUGCGAAAGCGUGGGUAGCAAACAGGAUUAGAUACCCCUGUAGUC